AAAAUAAUUAGAAUGUGACAGGUGAAAUGUUUAUCCAGCUGUCUAUAUUAACAGGAGCUUUGCCAAAUAGGUGGUCGAGUCUCAACGAUGGCAGAUCUGGCUCUGUUAUUAGAGGACCUCAACGCACGUCUAAGACGAGAGAGUUUUUCGAGACCGCGCCGAUUUUUUUUAUGGAGAGCGAUGAAUGGCUCUUGAGUCGUUUUCGUCUCCCAAGGCAUCUCCUGAUGGAGCUAUGCAAUGCUUUGGAGCCACACUUUCAGCGGGAGAUCAGGGACAGGUCUGGUAUUUCCCAGCCAAGUAUUAGCCGAACCAUGACAGCAGUUUUGGCAGCUAUAAUGUCCCUCUCCGAACGUUAUAUUAAAUUCCCAUAUAAUAACGAUCAGCAAACUGGAAUCAAACAGGAUUUUUAUGCUAUUGCUAGGUUUCCAAAUGUGAUUGGUGCGGUUGAUUGUACCCAUGUGCGUAUGAAGCCACCAUCUAUUAAUGAUUACGCGUACAUCAACCGCAAAAGCUACCAUUCAGUUAAUGUUCAGAUUAUUUGCGAUGCCAGAAUGUCAA
Molecule: long non-coding RNA, 558 nt
Organism: Gadus macrocephalus (Pacific cod)
Lineage: Eukaryota; Metazoa; Chordata; Actinopteri; Gadiformes; Gadidae
Exons: 2
Source: RefSeq, a predicted model, not a curated record